GAUGAACGCUGGCGGCGUGCCUAAUACAUGCAAGUCGAGCGAACAGACGAGGAGCUUGCUCCUCUGACGUUAGCGGCGGACGGGUGAGUAACACGUGGAUAACCUACCUAUAAGACUGGGAUAACUUCGGGAAACCGGAGCUAAUACCGGAUAAUAUAUUGAACCGCAUGGUUCAAUAGUGAAAGACGGUUUUGCUGUCACUUAUAGAUGGAUCCGCGCCGCAUUAGCUAGUUGGUAAGGUAACGGCUUACCAAGGCAACGAUGCGUAGCCGACCUGAGAGGGUGAUCGGCCACACGGGAACUGAGACACGGUCCAGACUCCUACGGGAGGCAGCAGGAGGGAAUCUUCCGCAAUGGGCGAAAGCCUGACGGAGCAACGCCGCGUGAGUGAUGAAGGUCUUCGGAUCGUAAAACUCUGUUAUUAGGGAAGAACAAAUGUGUAAGUAACUAUGCACGUCUUGACGGUACCUAAUCAGAAAGCCACGGCUAACUACGU
This 496-nucleotide ribosomal RNA is filed under the name uncultured bacterium. Its description in RNAcentral is "partial 16S ribosomal RNA". It matches the Rfam family "Bacterial small subunit ribosomal RNA", at positions 28 to 506 of the family's 1533-position model. The record is from RNAcentral.